UGGGAACCUUCCCUAUGGUUCGGAAUAGCUCAGGGAAACUUGGGGUAAUACCGGAUAAGCCCUUCGGGGAAAGAUUUAUCGCCAUUGGAUAGGCCCGCGUCGGAUUAGCUAGUUGGUGAGGUAACGGCUCACCAAGGCAACGAUCCGUAGCUGGUCUGAGAGGAUGAUCAGCCACACUGGGACUAAGACACGGCCCAGACUCCUACGGGAGGCAG
This 215-nucleotide ribosomal RNA is filed under the name uncultured bacterium. Its description in RNAcentral is "partial 16S ribosomal RNA". It matches the Rfam family "Bacterial small subunit ribosomal RNA", at positions 118 to 351 of the family's 1533-position model. The record is from RNAcentral.